UGUGGCUCAGUUGGUAGAGUGCUUGCCUAGCAUGCAUUGAAGCCCUGGGUUCAAGCCCCAGCA
RNAcentral lists this transfer RNA (63 nucleotides) under Neotoma lepida (desert woodrat). It matches the Rfam family "tRNA", at positions 6 to 65 of the family's 71-position model. Rfam says of the family: Transfer RNA (tRNA) molecules are approximately 80 nucleotides in length. Their secondary structure includes four short double-helical elements and three loops (D, anti-codon, and T loops). Lineage: Eukaryota; Metazoa; Chordata; Mammalia; Rodentia; Cricetidae. The record is from Rfam by way of RNAcentral.